GUUUAGCCCAGAUAAUAACAGAAAUCCUUUUAUAAUUUUAGGUUAGUUUUUCUUGAUGAAAAAAAACGACCAACGGAAGUUCUUUUUUUAUUUAGAAAAACAACCUAAAAUUGUGAAAGAUUGCAGUGAAUAGCUGGAAAUAGC
Molecule: small RNA, 144 nt
Filed under: Flavobacterium aquatile LMG 4008 = ATCC 11947
Lineage: Bacteria; Pseudomonadati; Bacteroidota; Flavobacteriia; Flavobacteriales; Flavobacteriaceae
Description: Flavobacterium aquatile LMG 4008 Flavo-1 RNA
Rfam family: Flavo-1 RNA
Source: Rfam by way of RNAcentral